RNAcentral lists this ribosomal RNA (532 nucleotides) under Epinephelus bleekeri (duskytail grouper). RNAcentral describes it as "partial 16S ribosomal RNA". It matches the Rfam family "Bacterial large subunit ribosomal RNA", at positions 1845 to 2568 of the family's 2925-position model. Lineage: Eukaryota; Metazoa; Chordata; Actinopteri; Perciformes; Serranidae. The record is from RNAcentral.
AUAAGAGGUCCCGCCUGCCCUGUGACUAUAUGUUUAACGGCCGCGGUAUUUUGACCGUGCGAAGGUAGCGCAAUCACUUGUCUUUUAAAUGGGGACCUGUAUGAAUGGCAUAACGAGGGCUUGACUGUCUCCUCUUUCAAGUCAAUGAAAUUGAUCUCCCCGUGCAGAAGCGGGGAUAAAAACAUAAGACGAGAAGACCCUAUGGAGCUUCAGACACUAAAGCAGAUCAUGCAUUAAUAUCCUGAACANNNUGGGACAUGAAUACACUGAGCCCUGCCCUAAUGUCUUAGGUUGGGGCGACCGCGGAGUAACAAAAAACCCCCGCAAGGACCGAAUGUAUUNNNACAUUCACAACCAAGAGCGACAGCUCUAAUUAACAGACACUUCUGACCAAUAAGAUCCGGCAACGCCGAUUAAUGGAACAAGUUACCCUAGGGAUAACAGCGCAUUCUCCUCUUAGAGUCCGUAUCAACGAGGAGGUUUACGACCUCAAUGUUGGAUCAGGACAUCCUAAUGGUGCAUUCGCUAUUAA